GGAUAUAGUGUGAGCCACCGCACCUGGCCUUCUUUUCUUUCUUUAAAAAUAUUUUUUUUCUUUGCUUUUUUUUUUUGUAUUCUCCACAUAGUUGAACAUCCUAAAGAAAUUCGUUCCUUUGCUUUAGUCUCGAAGAUGGAGCCCAGUUAGCUACAGAGCCAUCAGAGUCUAAGUGUCUGGCACCUGAGCUCCUCCUUGGCCCACAGAAAGGCUCUGCCCACCAGCUCCCCAGAGAGAAUAUGGAAAUGCUGCUUGGGACCAAAUAAGGGAAUAUAAUGAAAGGGGCCUCAGGGCUGAGUCUGUGUCUGAGUCACAUUUUAGCAAAGUGGCCACAUAGCUUCUGACUCAGAGCACAAAGAUUCUUCAAUUCUUCAUGGCAAGAAUGAGACUCACAAGAGCAUAGGCUCAGAAGUGGAAAGGAGGGUAGAGCUGUCUCCUCCUGUCUAGUCUAACCAAGGCAGCUAAGAAGCUGAGGCCAGAGAAGGGAGGGUCCCGCAGCCCUAGGGAGGGCCGGAGCCAGCUGGGGCUUCCAGACUCCCGGGAGAGGUGUCAUCCUGCCACCCACUCUGCAGGCUCUGCUCAGUCUGUUUGGACGCUGGGUGUGUCGGGAGGCCCUGUCACCCUGCCCCGACCCGGCUAUGCUGGGGAGACCUCAGCUUCCUGACUCAUACUCAGAAGGGAGUGUCUUAGAGGAAUUUCUUUCCACCCAAGCAGUCUAUGGACGGAUCAAAAGUGCAAGUCAUGUCAAGACGAGAAAGAUAAGAAUGUUGCUGGACAAAGCUGCACAAGCAUUUCUUGUUGCUCCCUCCUCCCCGCCUCUUUCUCUGAGGUUGACUGGUCUAUCCGUAAGUUGUGGGGGCUGGUGCUGGUGUGGAGGGAGGAUGAAGGGCCAAGGACAUCUCUAUGGGGUAUACUUGGGACCAGACUGGCUGUCAACACACAGCCCAGCCUCUCCACUUCAUUGCCACUCCUGGGGGCAUUUCGGUGGACUACAAAGUGCUAGAAACCACGGAGUCUCUGAC
Molecule: long non-coding RNA, 1022 nt
Filed under: Cercocebus atys (sooty mangabey)
Lineage: Eukaryota; Metazoa; Chordata; Mammalia; Primates; Cercopithecidae
Description: lncRNA (ENSCATG00000045668.1)
Source: RNAcentral